RNAcentral lists this unclassified non-coding RNA (520 nucleotides) under uncultured Entrophospora. Its description in RNAcentral is "SSU rRNA". It matches the Rfam family "Eukaryotic small subunit ribosomal RNA", at positions 569 to 1091 of the family's 1831-position model. Lineage: Eukaryota; Fungi; Glomeromycota; Glomeromycetes; Entrophosporales; Entrophosporaceae. The record is from RNAcentral.
AGCAGCCGCGGUAAUUCCAGCUCCAAUAGCGUAUAUUAAAGUUGUUGCAGUUAAAAAGCUCGUAGUUGAAUUUCGGGAUCAAAGAAUCGGUCAUGCCUUGGUAUGUACUGGUUUUAUUGGUUCUCACCUUCUAAAGAACCAUGAUGUCAUUCAUUUGAUGUUAUGGGGAAUUAGGACUGUUACCUUGAAAAAAUUAGAGUGUUUAAAGCAAGCUUACGCUUGAAUACAUUAGCAUGGAAUAAUGAAAUAGGACAUCAGAUUCUAUUUUGUUGGUUUCUAGGAUCGAUGUAAUGAUUAAUAGGGAUAGUUGGGGGCAUUAGUAUUCAAUUGCCAGAGGUGAAAUUCUUGGAUUUAUUGAAGACUAACUACUGCGAAAGCAUUUGCCAAGGAUGUUUUCAUUAAUCAAGAACGAAAGUUAGGGGAUCGAAGACGAUCAGAUACCGUCGUAGUCUUAACCAUAAACUAUGCCGACUAGGGAUCGGAUGAUGUUAAUUUUUUAAUGACUCAUUCGGCACCUUAC